GACGUAGGGGGCAAGCGUUGUCCGGAAUCAUUGGGCGUAAAGCGCGUGUAGGCGGCUCGGUAAGUCUGCUGUGAAAGUCCAGGGCUCAACCCUGGGAUGCCGGUGGAUACUGUCGAGCUCGAGUCCGGAAGAGGCGAGUGGAAUUCCUGGUGUAGCGGUGAAAUGCGCAGAUAUCAGGAGGAACACCAAUGGCGAAGGCAGCUCGCUGGGACGUGACUGACGCUGAGACGCGAAAGCGUGGGGAGCAAACAGG
Molecule: ribosomal RNA, 253 nt
Filed under: uncultured bacterium
Lineage: Bacteria
Description: partial 16S ribosomal RNA
Rfam family: Bacterial small subunit ribosomal RNA
Source: RNAcentral